This 396-nucleotide unclassified non-coding RNA is filed under the name fungal sp. RNAcentral's name for it is "partial internal transcribed spacer region". The stretch from base 1 to 46 matches the Rfam family "Eukaryotic small subunit ribosomal RNA", at positions 1786 to 1831 of the family's 1831-position model. The record is from RNAcentral. Lineage: Eukaryota; Fungi.
AAGUCGUAACAAGGUUUCCGUAGGUGAACCUGCGGAAGGAUCAUUACAACGUAUCCACGUACCAAACUCUCGAACUGUUCCCGACGGAGCAAAGCGCACUUGUGUGUGUAAGAAGUUAAUGGCCGGCUGUCUUUCGCUGAUGGAGUUCAAUGACUUUUGUCUGAGGACUGAAAGGCUUUCGGUCGCUGGAGCUCCGGCUCUGGGGCUUUGUUUGCUUCGUUGCGGUUUCUACCGUCAGCGUGUUUUACCAUUAUUAACCCCAUGUAAAUUUCGAACUGAACUUGUAACCGUUCUGCGGCUGUUCUUGCUGGCUUCGGUCACGGACAGCGUCAACGCAGCUCAGUUAUUCUUUUACAAAACAAAGAACAACUCUUAACAACGGAUAUCUUGGUUCUC